RNAcentral lists this ribosomal RNA (468 nucleotides) under uncultured bacterium. Its description in RNAcentral is "partial 16S ribosomal RNA". It matches the Rfam family "Bacterial small subunit ribosomal RNA", at positions 28 to 507 of the family's 1533-position model. The record is from RNAcentral.
GAUGAACGCUGGCGGCGUGCUUAACACAUGCAAGUCGAACGGUGAAGGCGGAGCUUGCUCUGCUGGAUCAGUGGCGAACGGGUGAGUAACACGUGAGCAAUCUGCCCCUGACUCUAGGAUAAGCGCUGGAAACGGCGUCUAAUACUGGAUACGAGCUGCGAAGGCAUCUUCAGCAGCUGGAAAGAACUUCGGUCAGGGAUGAGCUCGCGGCCUAUCAGCUUGUUGGUGAGGUAACGGCUCACCAAGGCGUCGACGGGUAGCCGGCCUGAGAGGGUGACCGGCCACACUGGGACUGAGACACGGCCCAGACUCCUACGGGAGGCAGCAGUGGGGAAUAUUGCACAAUGGGCGAAAGCCUGAUGCAGCAACGCCGCGUGAGGGACGACGGCCUUCGGGUUGUAAACCUCUUUUAGCAGGGAAGAAGCGAAAGUGACGGUACCUGCAGAAAAAGCGCCGGCUAACUACGUG